GACCUGCCGAAACCAGGCAGCUGCCACGGCAGCGACGACGACGACGACUGCCCCUCUCCUCCAUCCUCCGAUGGCAACCGGCACCUGGUCACCCCGCUCGUGGUCACCGCGUUCGUCCUCGUCUUCCUGUCUCUCGUGUCCCUGUCCAUCUACUGCUUCAUCCGUCGCAGGAGGCGCCAGCGCCGGCAGCAGUCCCUUCUCGCCGCCGGGGCUGCCAACCCCGCCGCCCAAGGCGACGGCCCCGCCCCCGAGAUGGCUGGCGCCGCGACCGCGACCGACGUCGAAGGGGGCGCAGCUCCGGAUCCAGAGGAUGAGGAGGUCGUGCACCACGCGUGGCACAUCCGCACCGUGGGGCUCGACGAGGCGGCGAUCGAGUCCAUCGCGCUCACGCGGUACCGCGUCGGCGCGGGGACGCUGGGCGGCGCCGCCGACUGCUCCGUCUGCCUCGGCGAGUUCCUGGACGGCGAGCUCCUCCGGCUGCUCCCCAAGUGCGGCCACGCGUUCCACGUCCCCUGCAUCGGCACCUGGCUCCGCGCCCACGUCAACUGCCCGCUCUGCCGCGCCGACGUCGUCGUCUUGGACUCGGCGGCCACCGGCGGUUCGGAGCCACCUGCCGACGCUCAGCAAGUUUCUGAAACCUUGAGCCAGGAGCAGCCGGUCCCGGCUCAAGGGCAGAACGAGCAGCAAGAGCUGCGCGUACAGAUCGAUCGGCGCUGCCGGUCGAGGUCGCCGGAGCCACAGCGCAGGAGGACGGAGAAUUUUCGCCGCGUAGCUUCCAUGGACUCGUCGGUGGUGUCCGUCGGGGCCGGGCUGGUUCUGGAAGACAAGCGGAGCAGUACAGAAGACCAGGGGGACGGCGAGGUGCCAUCGGGCUCUGGACGUUUGCGGUAUUUGUCCGGCGGUGGUCGGCGGUCUCGCCUCUCGGGACAUCGCCGCAUCAGCAGCUCCAUGCUUCCGUCUUGA
This 963-nucleotide ribosomal RNA is filed under the name Triticum aestivum (bread wheat). RNAcentral's name for it is "partial small subunit ribosomal RNA". The record is from RNAcentral. Lineage: Eukaryota; Viridiplantae; Streptophyta; Magnoliopsida; Poales; Poaceae.